UUUUAAAAUAUUAAAAAAAAAACUAAAUCUCUAAAAAAAAAUCCCAAAUUCUAAACCUAAAUCUCAGUUUCAAUUUCGACUUCUCUCUCCGUCGACAGAGCCCAGGCUGCCCAACCCAAACCAGUCAUCGCUCUCUCUUUCUUCGCCUCCCACGGUGGUCUAGUUCGUGCUCGGUAGUCUCCUGUCCUCGUCAUCGCUCAGGCAGUCAGGCUGCUUGGUUGGAGAAGAGUAGUGGGAAACUUUGUUUGUUGAUAUCGUCAAAGGCCUUGAGAAUAACUGGAAUAGAUGAUCGAAGGUAUUGGAAUUACAUUCCAACUCAAGAAUCAAGAUUGGAUUUCCACUCCUCCAAAACCCUCUUCUUCCCAAAAAGACCACGAUCAGUGCUUCCACACCGCCAACGAUGGGGAGUUUAGGGGGUACUGUUUACACGACCACCACCAUCGCCACCCACAUCAAGAAAUAGGGUAGAGAAACACUACUCCCAAUCGGAUCAACAGACGGAUUGGAGGCCGAGUUGAUGCAGAGCGCCAUGGCUCUUCAACAAGCAAAAAGGUUACUUGCAACAAUACUAUAUGUGGCCGUCGGAAUCGUUGCCUUGAAUUAGGCAGUUGCCCUUACAUGGUCUCUUAUGUCUCAGGAGAAACAUCUACUUCUGGAGUAUUGAUAGAGGAUGUCCUGCACUUGAAAAGGGAAGAUAAAUAUCAGGAACUUGUUGAGGCAUACGUCACUUUCGGUUGUGGAGAGGUUCAAAGCGGUUCAUUCCUUGAUGUUGCAGCUCCCAAUGGUUUAUUCUUUGGGCUUGGAAUGGAGAAGAUA
Molecule: long non-coding RNA, 816 nt
Organism: Cannabis sativa
Lineage: Eukaryota; Viridiplantae; Streptophyta; Magnoliopsida; Rosales; Cannabaceae
Exons: 5
Source: RefSeq, a predicted model, not a curated record